GACGAACGCUGGCGGCGUGCCUAAUACAUGCAAGUCGAACGCUGAAGAGAGGAGCUUGCUCUUCUUGGAUGAGUUGCGAACGGGUGAGUAACGCGUAGGUAACCUGCCUUGUAGCGGGGGAUAACUAUUGGAAACGAUAGCUAAUACCGCAUAACAAUGGAUGACACAUGUCAUUUAUUUGAAAGGGGCAAUUGUUCCACUACAAGAUGGACCUGCGUUGUAUUAGCUAGUAGGUGAGGUAAUGGCUCACCUAGGCGACGAUACAUAGCCGACCUGAGAGGGUGAUCGGCCACACUGGGACUGAGACACGGCCCAGACUCCUACGGGAGGCAGCAGUAGGGAAUCUUCGGCAAUGGGGGCAACCCUGACCGAGCAACGCCGCGUGAGUGAAGAAGGUUUUCGGAUCGUAAAGCUCUGUUGUAAGUCAAGAACGGGUGUGAGAGUGGAAAGUUCACACUGUGACGGUAGCUUACCAGAAAGGGACGGCUAACUACGUG
Molecule: ribosomal RNA, 497 nt
Filed under: uncultured bacterium
Lineage: Bacteria
Description: partial 16S ribosomal RNA
Rfam family: Bacterial small subunit ribosomal RNA
Source: RNAcentral